Molecule: ribosomal RNA, 468 nt
Filed under: uncultured bacterium
Lineage: Bacteria
Description: partial 16S ribosomal RNA
Rfam family: Bacterial small subunit ribosomal RNA
Source: RNAcentral
GACGAACGCUGGCGGCGUGCUUAACACAUGCAAGUCGAACGGAAAGGCCCUGCUUUUGUGGGGUGCUCGAGUGGCGAACGGGUGAGUAACACGUGUGUAACCUGCCCUUGACUUUGGGAUAACUUCAGGAAACUGGGGCUAAUACCGGAUAGGCGCUCCUGCUGCAUGGUGGGGGUUGGAAAGUUUCGGCGGUUGGGGAUGGACUCGCGGCUUAUCAGCUUGUUGGUGGGGUAGUGGCUUACCAAGGCUUUGACGGGUAGCCGGCCUGAGAGGGUGACCGGCCACAUUGGGACUGAGAUACGGCCCAGACUCCUACGGGAGGCAGCAGUGGGGAAUAUUGCACAAUGGGCGGAAGCCUGAUGCAGCAACGCCGCGUGCUGGAUGACGGCCUUCGGGUUGUAAACCGCUUUCGCCUGUGACGAAGCGUGAGUGACGGUAAUGGGUAAAGAAGCACCGGCUAACUACGUG